RNAcentral lists this unclassified non-coding RNA (200 nucleotides) under soil metagenome. RNAcentral's name for it is "partial contains internal transcribed spacer 2 and large subunit ribosomal RNA". The record is from RNAcentral.
AACCAUCAAGCACGGCUUGUCGUUGGACUCUUGUCGCUGUAACACGCGGCAAGUCCGAAAGAUAAUGACGGGUGUCGUGUUGGACCCUCGAUGCAACGAGCUCUUUGUAGCACGCAUCGAACGUGGUCUACCGCCCCGGUCUACACGUCUAUUCUCUUCAGGUUGACCUCGGACCAGGUAGGAAUACCCGCUGAACUUAA